Long non-coding RNA from Salvia miltiorrhiza (redroot sage), 548 nucleotides. RefSeq lists it as uncharacterized. The transcript has 2 exons. The record is from RefSeq and is a predicted model, not a curated record. NCBI's taxonomy places the organism in Eukaryota, Viridiplantae, Streptophyta, Magnoliopsida, Lamiales, Lamiaceae.
UUAAAGAAAAUCGAGUAAGGAUAUUGUUGGUGUCCUUAACUCAAGAAUUUUAGUUUUCAAUUAUUAUUCAUUAAAUUUUUGAAAACCCGGCGUGAUAAAUCAUAGUAGUUAAGUGCACCCACUAAGACUUUAAGUUAGCUUCACGAGACCUAUUAAGAAUAGAAUUUCUUGUAGGCUUUGUGACCAGGGGGAUUAGCGCUGCUUUCCCAAGACAGGUUUAUAUGUGAUUAUGAUCUUCAGGCUUUGCCUAACCAGGUUGGCUGGCCGGUGCUGACGGGACGGAGCUGAGGCUAGCGAUAAAUUCCUAUGUUAGACUUCCGCUGUAGCAAUUACUCAUAUCAGUCUUUUGUUUUCUCAACUUAAGAUCUUCAUGUUAAAUUUCAAAUGAUAUACCUGACCGAGCUUAGACUCUUCACUACUAAAUUUAUGCUAAUGAAUGUCGGUUGUCAGAAGCAUGAAACAAAACUUGUGAUCCAAAGGGGCAUAGCCCGACUCUCUAUCUUAUUAUUCGGGUUUUAACAAGGUUGUUCCUUGUUUAUUUCUAUGAA